AACGAACGCUGGCGGCAGGCCUAACACAUGCAAGUCGAACGCCCCGCAAGGGGAGUGGCAGACGGGUGAGUAACACGUGGGAACCUACCUAUUGGUACGGAAUAACUCGGGGAAACCCGUGCUAAUACCGUAUACGCCCGAGAGGGGAAAGAUUUAUCGCCGAUAGAUGGGCCCGCGUCGGAUUAGCUAGUUGGUGGGGUAAUGGCUCACCAAGGCGACGAUCCGUAGCUGGUCUGAGAGGAUGAUCAGCCACACUGGGACUGAGACACGGCCCAGACUCCUACGGGAGGCAGCAGUGGGGAAUAUUGGACAAUGGGGGCAACCCUGAUCCAGCCAUGCCGCGUGAGUGACGAAGGCCUUAGGGUUGUAAAGCUCUUUUGGCGGGGACGAUAAUGACGGUACCCGCAGAAUAAGCCCCGGCUAACUUCGUG
RNAcentral lists this ribosomal RNA (431 nucleotides) under uncultured bacterium. Its description in RNAcentral is "bacterial SSU rRNA". It matches the Rfam family "Bacterial small subunit ribosomal RNA", at positions 29 to 507 of the family's 1533-position model. The record is from RNAcentral.